ACGUUAGCGGCGGACGGGUGAGUAACACGUGGGUAACCUACCUAUAAGACUGGGAUAACUUCGGGAAACCGGAGCUAAUACCGGAUAAUAUUUCGAACCGCAUGGUUCGAUAGUGAAAGAUGGUUUUGCUAUCACUUAUAGAUGGACCCGCGCCGUAUUAGCUAGUUGGUAAGGUAACGGCUUACCAAGGCGACGAUACGUAGCCGACCUGAGAGGGUGAUCGGCCACACUGGAACUGAGACACGGUCCAGACUCCUACGGGAGGCAGCAGCC
RNAcentral lists this ribosomal RNA (273 nucleotides) under uncultured Staphylococcus sp. RNAcentral's name for it is "partial 16S ribosomal RNA". It matches the Rfam family "Bacterial small subunit ribosomal RNA", at positions 89 to 355 of the family's 1533-position model. The record is from RNAcentral. Lineage: Bacteria; Bacillati; Bacillota; Bacilli; Caryophanales; Staphylococcaceae.